Molecule: long non-coding RNA, 479 nt
Organism: Nycticebus coucang (slow loris)
Lineage: Eukaryota; Metazoa; Chordata; Mammalia; Primates; Lorisidae
Exons: 3
Source: RefSeq, a predicted model, not a curated record
CUGGUCCUGAUUUGUUGGUGAUAAAUCUGCUUCCUCUCGUCCUCCUCCCUGGAAGAGCCUGGAAGAGAGGGUGACGACUUUCCCCAUUCCCUGUUUUUUGCCUUUUUCCAUUGCCUGCCAGCUCAGGUUCUCCAGCUGUCUCUGGAAACAAGGAUCCGGGAGCACAAAGCAUGGAGGUGCCAGCCAAGGGCAGCAGGGACCUUGCAAAUCACCCAGGGAAGAACCCCACACUCGUCAAAAUGUGAAGUUUGACAAUAUCCACGGAUAUACAUUAUCCCCACCAACUCUGGGCUGUUUGCAUUGAAAAUGAAGUUCUCUCAUUUUUGGUUGUUCAACCAUAUCUGUUGAAACCCCUGCCUCCCACCCCCAGUAUCUUCCUUCCUGUACUUAAAUUAAACACACGUAAGCAGACAAAAAGACAUCAGAUAGUUCCCUGAAAAGAAUGAACACCCGGGUAGUGAUGUAGAACUCACAGUCAG